RNAcentral lists this ribosomal RNA (497 nucleotides) under uncultured bacterium. RNAcentral describes it as "bacterial SSU rRNA". It matches the Rfam family "Bacterial small subunit ribosomal RNA", at positions 24 to 518 of the family's 1533-position model. The record is from RNAcentral.
UCAGGAUGAACGCUGGCGGCGUGCCUAAUACAUGCAAGUCGAACGAGGUAGCAAUACCGAGUGGCGAACGGGUGAGUAACACGUAGGUAACCUGCCCUUAAGCUUGGGAUACCCAGAGGAAACUUGGCUAAUACCGGAUAACAACAGAGAAGGCAUCUUCUUUGCUUGAAAGGCCCUUCAAGGGUCACUUAAGGAUGGACCUGCGGCGCAUUAGCUAGUUGGUGAGAUAACAGCCCACCAAGGCGAGGAUGCGUAGCCGAACUGAGAGGUUGAUCGGCCACAUUGGAACUGAGACACGGUCCAAACUCCUACGGGAGGCAGCAGUAAGGAGUUUUCGGCAAUGGGGGAAACCCUGACCGAGCAACGCCGCGUGAGCGAUGACGGUCCUUUGGAAUUGUAAAGCUCUGUUGUAAGCCAUGAAUGACAGCUUGAGGAAAUGCAAGUUGUUUGACGACAGCUUACCAGAAAGCCACGGCUAACUACGUGCCAGCCGCUGC